CAGUUCGGGUGCCAGCAUCUGCGGUAAUUCCAGCUCCAAUAGCGUAUAUGUAAAUUGUUGCGGUUGAAAAGCUCGUAGUUGGACUUCUGGCGUCCGGAUUCGGUCCGCCUUGAGCGAGCACUGGAUCCGGUCGUCGUUUGUGUCGACGAGGUUCGUCGGACUUCACUGGCUGGCGUUCUCCAGUCGACAGGGUUACUUUGAGGAAAUCAGAGUGCUCAAGGCAAGCGCACGCUCGUGACUUCACUAGCAUGGAAUAACACAGAUGGGCUCUUUUUCGCAACGUUGGUCUGCGUCAAUUGAGCAACGAUCGAUAGAGACGGUCGGGGGCAUUCGUAUUGCGCAGUUAGAGGUGAAAUUCUCCGAUCUGCGCAAGACGCACUAAUGCGAAAGCAGUUGCCAAGGACGUCCUCUUAUGAUCAAGAGCGAAAGUCGGGGGAUCAAAGAUGAUUAGAUACCGUCGUAGUCCCGACCAUAAAUGAUGCCGACUGAGCGUCGGCGACUCGGCCUUCGGCCGUACGUCGGCGCUCUUGAGAGAAAUUAAAGUCUUUGGGCUCCGGGGGUAGUAUGGUCGCAAGUCUGAAACUUGAAGGAAUUGACGGAAGGGCACCACAAGGCGUGGAUGUUGCGGCUUAAUUUGACUCAACACGGGAAAGCUUACUAGGUUUGGACACUUGAAUGAGGGACAUAUUGAAGCUCUUACCUUUUUUUGUGGAUGGUGGUGCAUGGUCGUUCUCAGCCCGUGGGUUGACCUGUCAGGUUUACUCCGGUAACGCGCGAGACCUCGGUUUGCUAAAUAGACGCGGCUGUUUCGGCACCCGCGUUCUUCUUAGAGAGAGUCUCGACGAGAGUCGAGGGAAGUCGAGGCAAUAACAGAUCUGUGAUGCCCUUAGUUAUCCUAGGUCGCACGCGCCAAACAAUGUCGCUUACAACGAGUUCCUAGGCCGACAGGUAUUCUCCWUCGCGUUCGUUGGCUUCCCCGCGUGGAGGGCCAGUCGCUCCGCGAGAGCGGCCGUCUUCCCGCGAGUGGAGGCUUCCGUGCCGAUCGAGAUCGACCGGGCAAUCUUGCAGAGAGCUACGUGACUGGGCUAGACUCUUGUAAUUGUUGGUCUUCAACGAGGAAUGCCUAGUAAUCGCAGGUCAUCAUCCUGCGAUGAUUAGGUCCCUGCCCUUUGUACACACCGCCCGUCGCUCCAUCCGUGGCAUGCGCCGGUGAAGAGGGGGAGGCAGCGUCGUCCG
Molecule: ribosomal RNA, 1236 nt
Filed under: Kraftalia sp. 5LL
Lineage: Eukaryota; Viridiplantae; Chlorophyta; Ulvophyceae; Bryopsidales; Halimedaceae
Description: bacterial SSU rRNA
Source: RNAcentral